This 26-nucleotide non-coding RNA is filed under the name Rattus norvegicus (Norway rat). Lineage: Eukaryota; Metazoa; Chordata; Mammalia; Rodentia; Muridae. The record is from RNAcentral.
UGCCAAGUCCUUCCCCAAGCUGCUCC